ACGGUUAUAAAUCAACAUAUUGAUUUAUAAGCAUGGAAAUCCUCUGAGUGAAACAACGAAUUGCUGUGUGUAGUCUUUGCCCAUCUCCCACGAUGGGCUUUUUUUUAA
RNAcentral lists this non-coding RNA (108 nucleotides) under Escherichia coli. Its description in RNAcentral is "antisense sRNA RprA". It matches the Rfam family "RprA RNA". Rfam says of the family: Translational regulation of the stationary phase sigma factor RpoS is mediated by the formation of a double-stranded RNA stem-loop structure in the upstream region of the rpoS messenger RNA, occluding the translation initiation site. Clones carrying rprA (RpoS regulator RNA A) increased the translation of RpoS. The record is from RNAcentral. RNAcentral also lists the same sequence under 1 other name. Lineage: Bacteria; Pseudomonadati; Pseudomonadota; Gammaproteobacteria; Enterobacterales; Enterobacteriaceae.